This 253-nucleotide unclassified non-coding RNA is filed under the name Ascomycota sp. RNAcentral's name for it is "partial contains small subunit ribosomal RNA, internal transcribed spacer 1, and 5.8S ribosomal RNA". The stretch from base 1 to 47 matches the Rfam family "Eukaryotic small subunit ribosomal RNA", at positions 1785 to 1831 of the family's 1831-position model. The record is from RNAcentral. Lineage: Eukaryota; Fungi; Ascomycota.
AAAGUCGUAACAAGGUCUCCGUUGGUGAACCAGCGGAGGGAUCAUUACAGAGCUCCGAAAGGACUCCCUUAAACCAUCGCGAACUCAUCCGUACAGCGUUGCUUCGGCGGGCGGCCCCUGGGAGGGGCCGCAGCCCCCCCUCUCCGGAGGGGGGGCGCCCGCCGGAGGGCACAAACCCUUCUGUAUUAUAGUGGCAUCUCUGAGUAAGCAAGCAAAUAAGUUAAAACUUUCAACAACGGAUCUCUUGGCUCUG